ACGUAGGUGGCGAGCGUUGUCCGGAAUUACUGGGUGUAAAGGGAGCGCAGGCGGGAAGACAAGUCAGUUGUGAAAACUAUGGGCUUAACCCCUAGAGUGCAGUUGAAACUGUUUUUCUUGAGUGUGGUAGAGGUAGGCGGAAUUCCGGGUGUAGCGGUGAAAUGCGUAGAUAUUAGGAGGAACACCGAUGGCGAAGGCAGCCUACGGGGCUUUAACUGACGCUGAGGCUCGAAAGUGUGGGGAUCAAACAG
This 251-nucleotide ribosomal RNA is filed under the name uncultured prokaryote. RNAcentral describes it as "partial 16S rRNA". It matches the Rfam family "Bacterial small subunit ribosomal RNA", at positions 525 to 775 of the family's 1533-position model. The record is from RNAcentral.